RNAcentral lists this ribosomal RNA (997 nucleotides) under Geobacillus thermoparaffinivorans. RNAcentral's name for it is "bacterial SSU rRNA". It matches the Rfam family "Bacterial small subunit ribosomal RNA", at positions 72 to 1028 of the family's 1533-position model. Lineage: Bacteria; Bacillati; Bacillota; Bacilli; Caryophanales; Anoxybacillaceae. The record is from RNAcentral.
AUCGGAGCUUGCUCUGGUUUGGUCAGCGGCGGACGGGUGAGUAACACGUGGGCAACCUGCCCGCAAGACCGGGAUAACUCCGGGAAACCGGAGCUAAUACCGGAUAACACCGAAGACCGCAUGGUCUUUGGUUGAAAGGCGGCCUUUGGCUGUCACUUGCGGAUGGGCCCGCGGCGCAUUAGCUAGUUGGUGAGGUAACGGCUCACCAAGGCGACGAUGCGUAGCCGGCCUGAGAGGGUGACCGGCCACACUGGGACUGAGACACGGCCCAGACUCCUACGGGAGGCAGCAGUAGGGAAUCUUCCGCAAUGGGCGAAAGCCUGACGGAGCGACGCCGCGUGAGCGAAGAAGGCCUUCGGGUCGUAAAGCUCUGUUGUGAGGGACGAAGGAGCGCCGUUCGAAGAGGGCGGCGCGGUGACGGUACCUCACGAGGAAGCCCCGGCUAACUACGUGCCAGCAGCCGCGGUAAUACGUAGGGGGCGAGCGUUGUCCGGAAUUAUUGGGCGUAAAGCGCGCGCAGGCGGUUCCUUAAGUCUGAUGUGAAAGCCCACGGCUCAACCGUGGAGGGUCAUUGGAAACUGGGGGACUUGAGUGCAGGAGAGGAGAGCGGAAUUCCACGUGUAGCGGUGAAAUGCGUAGAGAUGUGGAGGAACACCAGUGGCGAAGGCGGCUCUCUGGCCUGCAACUGACGCUGAGGCGCGAAAGCGUGGGGAGCAAACAGGAUUAGAUACCCUGGUAGUCCACGCCGUAAACGAUGAGUGCUAAGUGUUAGAGGGGUCACACCCUUUUAGUGCUGCAGCUAACGCGAUAAGCACUCCGCCUGGGGGAGUACGGGCCGCAAGGGUUGAAACUCAAAAGGAAUUGACGGGGGGCCCGCACAAACGGGUGAAGCAUGUGGGUUUAAUUCCGAAGCAACGCCGAAGAACCUUUACCAAGGUCUUUGACAUCCCCUUGACAACCCCAAGAAAAUUGGGGCGUUCCCCCCUUCCGGGGGGGA